Molecule: unclassified non-coding RNA, 652 nt
Filed under: Athalia rosae (coleseed sawfly)
Lineage: Eukaryota; Metazoa; Arthropoda; Insecta; Hymenoptera; Athaliidae
Description: misc RNA ENSAEAG00005008685.1
Source: RNAcentral
AACUCAAUUAUAGGGGCAUAGAAUUUUUUUUACCUUGAGCCUUUCUCGCAACGCAUCCCGUUCUUCGGCCAAGCGGUUGACGUCAGCUCGUGCUGAAUCUCGUUCCUGUUCCAAACGCUCUAACAUCGCCUGAGAAUUCUCAAUAUCUCAUGAUCAGUUCUGAAUUAUGGGUAUUUCAUAUAUGUGUAAGAAACCUGUCGAUCACCAACCUUUGUUGUAUCGGAAUCUUGACCGGAGAGUGGAGAUGUCGUUGAAAAAUUGCCGAGGACAUUUGGCCUUGAAACGCUGCAGGGAAUGCAGCCACGACUUGUUCCUUUUCGUUCAAUUGGCGUCUGAGUUCACAAGCUUGCGCCCACAAGUCAGCCUGACAGAUAGUGCGUGAAAUAAAGUUGAAAAAAAUUUAAACAAGCUGGUUUUGCAGUGUGGAGUGGUACAUCAUAAUCACCGAUGGGCAAAUCUUCAUGGUACAUUAUCAGGUUUCUGAUUUUCAACAGUGUGUUUCCCAGCUUGCAAGUUGUUGAACACAUCUUUUGAGACUUCAUUUUCUCCGUGACCGUUCAAGCUAUGUUUAUUCACCGAGGGCGAAGCAGGUCGAACUUUGGUUGCUACAAAAACACCAGAGUGAAGGAGCUAUGAGGUUGAUUACGUAUAG